GACAAUUAUUUUAAAAUAAACUCAAAAUGAUAUCAGAGUCUCAUGAGCAUGACGACGCCGAACCACCAGUACCCACCUCCAUCACCGGUCAGCAAUUUUUCUAGCAUCAUCAUCCCUUCUCUCUGUUCGACUUUCUCUUUCUUUCCUUCCCCUCUCUCUCUCCCACUCUUACAUCUACAUGGAACCCAGAGAUUGUCGGCGGCGACUCCAACUCAGAUCUGCUGUCGUCAAUCUCGAUCUAUCAGCCGAAGUUCACCGACAUCCUCUUUGUUCUUACCUUGGAGUAGGAAAUAGAAUAAAUAAAAAGGGGAAGAAAGAGAGAGAGAGAGAGAAAGCGAUAGGGAGAGAGGUGAUGCGGAAAGGCGGGAUGGGUUGAGCCGUGGAGGGAUGGGGGAUGG
RNAcentral lists this long non-coding RNA (398 nucleotides) under Malus domestica (apple). RNAcentral's name for it is "long non-coding RNA (MDOM_LNC002115)". Lineage: Eukaryota; Viridiplantae; Streptophyta; Magnoliopsida; Rosales; Rosaceae. The record is from RNAcentral.